GCGUUGCCGCCGUGCUUGUGCGCGCAGUGUGCGUGGCUUGAGCACGGCGGCGUUUUGCAGGGGACGCUUUCCUGGCCGGGGUGCUGAUUUGGAAACGAGCUCAGCAUUCGCACUGUCUUUUGGGCCUACCAUGAGGCGCCUAGGUUCGGUGCAGCGGAAAAUGCCAUGUGUGUUUGUGACGGAGGUGAAAGAGGAGCCCUCCACCAAAAGGGAGCAUCAGGUACCGAGGUGUGCGGCCCCGUGGAGCGGCCGCGCAGGGGCUGCCGGGCGCUGUAGAGCCGCCCUGCAGCCAUUUAAGGUUUUGGCAACUGAAACUAUAAGUCACAAGGCAUUAGAUGCAGAUAUAUACAGUGCAAUUCCAACAGAAAAAGUGGAUGGAACAUGUUGUUAUAUUACUAACUAUAAAGGUCAGCCAUACCUUUGGGCUCGACUAGAUAGAAAACCUAACAAAUUAGCUGAGAAAAGAUUUAAAAAUUUUCUACAUUCAAAACAAAACGCAAAAGAAUUUUUUUGGAAUGUUGAGGAGGACUUCAAACCUGUUCCAGAGUGCUGGAUACCAGCGAAGGAAAUAGAACAAUUAAAUGGGAAUCCGAUGCCUGAUGAAAAUGGACACAUUCCUGGUUGGGUACCAGUGGAGAAAAACAACAAACAGUAUUGCUGGCAUUCCUCUGUAGUUAAUUAUGAAUUUGAAGUUGCCCUGGUACUGAAGCAUCAUCCUGAUGAUCCUGGUCUUUUGGAAAUUAGUGCAGUGCCGCUAUCAGAUCUCCUAGAACAAACACUAGAGCUUAUCGGAACAAAUAUUAAUGGAAACCCAUAUGGGUUAGGAAGCAAGAAGCAUCCAUUACAUCUUCUUAUACCACAUGGGGCAUUUCAAAUAAGAAAUCUACCAACCUUGAAGCACAAUGAUCUAUUAUCCUGGUUUGAAGGUUGCAGAGAGGGUAAAAUUGAAGGAAUAGUAUGGCAUUGCAAUGAUGGCUGUUUAAUCAAGGUUUCCAGGUGCUGGAAAUACAGAGUCAACAAAACAAUGUCUGUGCCUUCAUGAAGCUCACAGUCUAAUGGGGAAGAUAGACAGUAACACGUAAAUAUAUAAUAUGUCAGGAGAAGAACAGCUAUGAAAAAAAAAGGGUUCAUCGCCAUCAUCUUGGUUUAUGCUGGCCAAUUCCAGAUACCUACAUGAAUUCAAAACCCGUUAUUAUCAACAUGAACCUGAACAAGUAUGA
Molecule: RNA transcript, 1220 nt
Organism: Herpailurus yagouaroundi (jaguarundi)
Lineage: Eukaryota; Metazoa; Chordata; Mammalia; Carnivora; Felidae
Gene: RLIG1
Gene name: RNA 5'-phosphate and 3'-OH ligase 1
Exons: 8
Source: RefSeq, a predicted model, not a curated record